RNAcentral lists this ribosomal RNA (449 nucleotides) under uncultured bacterium. Its description in RNAcentral is "bacterial SSU rRNA". It matches the Rfam family "Bacterial small subunit ribosomal RNA", at positions 354 to 796 of the family's 1533-position model. The record is from RNAcentral.
GUCGAGAAUCUUUAGCAAUGGGCGAAAGCCUGACUAUGCGACGCCGCGUGAGGGAUGAAGGUCUUCGGAUUGUAAACCUCUUUCGAUCAGGAAGAAAAUAUUCUGGCUAAUACUCAGAAGGUUGACGUUACUGAGAGAAGAAGCCACGGCCAACUCCGUGCCAGCAGCCGCGGUAAUACGGAGGUGGCAAGCGUUACUCGGAUUCACUGGGUGUAAAGGGCAGGUAGGUUUCCCUGUAAGUGAGUGGUGAAAUCCUUCGGCUCAAUCGAAGAAUUGCCAUUCAUACUGCGGGGAUUGAGUGUGGGAGAGGAAAGCGGAACUCUCGGUGUAAGGGUGAAAUCUGUUGAUAUCGAGAGGAACACCUGUAGCGAAAGCGGCUUUCUGGACCACAACUGACACUGAGCUGCGAAAGCUAGGGGAGCAAACAGGAUUAGAUACCCCAGUAGUCC